CGCGUAGGCGGUAUCUUAAGUCAGAGGUGAAAACUGUGGGCUCAACCCACAGCCUGCCUUUGAAACUGGGAGACUUGAGGGCAGGAGAGGGGAGUGGAAUUCCCAGUGUAGCGGUGAAAUGCGUAGAUAUUGGGAGGAACACCAGUGGCGAAGGCGGCUCUCUGGCCUGUUUCUGACGCUGAGGCGCGAAAGCGUGGGGAGCAAACG
Molecule: ribosomal RNA, 207 nt
Filed under: uncultured Peptococcaceae bacterium
Lineage: Bacteria; Bacillati; Bacillota; Clostridia; Eubacteriales; Peptococcaceae
Description: partial 16S ribosomal RNA
Rfam family: Bacterial small subunit ribosomal RNA
Source: RNAcentral